AGCCUGGAAUGAAGUCACUAGGGCUGUUUGGAGACCGGGGCUGUUUGGAGGACAAGGGCACACAACUGGUUCCAUUAAGGCCCUCUCUCGCUCAGACGCCAUGGAGCUGGAUCUGUCUCCACCUCAUCUUGGCAGCUCUCCGGAAGACCUUUGCCCAGCCCCCGGGACCCCUCCUGGGACUCCCCGGCCCCCUGAUACCCCUCUGCCUGAGGAGGUAAAGAGGUCCCAGCCUCUCCUCAUCCCAACCACCGGCAGGAAACUUCGAGAGGAGGAGCGGCGUGCCACCUCCCUCCCCUCUAUCCCCAACCCCUUCCCUGAGCUCUGCAGUCCUCCCUCACAGAGCCCCAUUCUCGGGGGCCCCUCCAGUGCAAGGGGGCUGCUCCCCCGCGAUGCCAGCCGCCCCCAUGUGAGUUGUCCCUCAGAAGGGAAGGGAGGGAUGCAGGGGUUCUGGUUCUGUGGGAGAUACACAGCCGCUUCCAUGGAGGCGGGGGAUCUUGGUUAGGAGUCCCUGAGGGUCUAGCAGGUGCGGAAAGGGAUGGAAUCACCCUUUGCCUCCCCUCAAGUCGUGUGCAAUUCCUGGGGCA
Molecule: small RNA, 584 nt
Filed under: Pongo abelii (Sumatran orangutan)
Lineage: Eukaryota; Metazoa; Chordata; Mammalia; Primates; Hominidae
Description: retained intron
Source: RNAcentral